RNAcentral lists this ribosomal RNA (547 nucleotides) under uncultured bacterium. RNAcentral describes it as "partial 16S ribosomal RNA". It matches the Rfam family "Bacterial small subunit ribosomal RNA", at positions 355 to 895 of the family's 1533-position model. The record is from RNAcentral.
UGGGGAAUUUUGGACAAUGGGCGAAAGCCUGAUCCAGCAAUGCCGCGUGUGUGAAGAAGGCCUUCGGGUUGUAAAGCACUUUUGUCCGGAAAGAAAUCCUUGGCUCUAAUACAGUCGGGGGAUGACGGUACCGGAAGAAUAAGCACCGGCUAACUACGUGCCAGCAGCCGCGGUAAUACGUAGGGUGCAAGCGUUAAUCGGAAUUACUGGGCGUAAAGCGUGCGCAGGCGGUUCGCUAAGACCGAUGUGAAAUCCCCGGGCUCAACCUGGGAACUGCAUUGGUGACUGGCAGGCUAGAGUAUGGCAGAGGGGGGUAGAAUUCCACGUGUAGCAGUGAAAUGCGUAGAGAUGUGGAGGAAUACCGAUGGCGAAGGUAGCCCCCUGGGCCAAUACUGACGCUCAUGCACGAAAGCGUGGGGAGCAAACAGGAUUAGAUACCCUGGUAGUCCACGCCCUAAACGAUGUCAACUAGUUGUUGGGGAUUCAUUUCCUUAGUAACGUAGCUAACGCGUGAAGUUGACCGCCUGGGGAGUACGGUCGCAAGAUU